Long non-coding RNA from Musca domestica (house fly), 373 nucleotides. RefSeq lists it as uncharacterized. The transcript has 2 exons. NCBI's taxonomy places the organism in Eukaryota, Metazoa, Arthropoda, Insecta, Diptera, Muscidae. The record is from RefSeq and is a predicted model, not a curated record.
CCCCUAUAUAAGGAAUUCAUCCAGCACUGCAACGAUAAACACAUUUCCACUUUCAAUCAGUAACAAGUGCAUUUCAAAACUCCCAAAAAUGUUCAAAAUCUUCUUUUUGUUGUUCGCCGCCUUGGUUGCCUUGGCCACAGCUGUUCCAGCUCCUGCCCCCGUGGCUCGUCCUGAACCAGCUCCAGCCCCACAAUUCUAUUACGGUGGCUACCCAGCUGCCUACAGCUAUGGCUAUCCCGCUGCUUACUAUGGUUAAAGUGUCUAAAUUUGAAAGGAUAAUGCAACUGAUCGGACAACUACAGACCUCUCUCUUCAGAAUUUGAUUUUACUAAAAUUUACUUAAUUUUAAUAAAAAUUUGAUUUCGAGAAAAUA